RNAcentral lists this long non-coding RNA (373 nucleotides) under Pan troglodytes (chimpanzee). Its description in RNAcentral is "long non-coding RNA NONPTRT010070". Lineage: Eukaryota; Metazoa; Chordata; Mammalia; Primates; Hominidae. The record is from RNAcentral.
GCAGCAGAAGGGAAAAGAAAAAAUAAUGGAAUAUUUUCUGUCCACAAUUGGUUGAAUCUGUGGAUGUGGAAACUGCAGAUACAGAUGGAGAGCUGACUAUACUAGCUUUUUGUUUCAUUUUUCACUUCUGGAACAAGAGGAUUUAUCUGACUCAACUGGAGAUGGCUCCCUUCCCUAAUUUAUUGUUGCAUCCUGAAGCUUCCCCCAUGCUGGGCUCAGUGUGAACAAACAGCGCGGGAGAAUGCAACCACUGCAGAGGCAUAUGUUUGAGAUGCCUGGCCACUGGAGGUCAUCUCGUCUACUAUGUUCACCACAGAUAAAGAAUGAAAAGAGAAUAUACAACCUUGUGAUUGCUAGCAGUGAAAGCUCAGAG